This 433-nucleotide ribosomal RNA is filed under the name uncultured bacterium. RNAcentral describes it as "partial 16S ribosomal RNA". It matches the Rfam family "Bacterial small subunit ribosomal RNA", at positions 28 to 507 of the family's 1533-position model. The record is from RNAcentral.
AGCGAACGCUGGCGGCAGGCUUAACACAUGCAAGUCGAGCGGACCUUUCGGGGUCAGCGGCGGACGGGUGAGGAACGCGGGGGAACGUGCCUUCCGGUUCGGAAUAACCCUGGGAAACGAGGGCUAAUACCGGAUACGCCCCGAUGGGGAAAGGUUUACUGCCGGAAGCUCAGCCCGCGACUGCUUAGCUGGGUGGUGGCGUAACGGCCUAUCAAGGCGACGAUCAGUAGCUGGGCUGAGAGGAUGAUCAGCCACACUGGGGCUGGGCCGCGGGCCAGACUCUUACGCGAGGCAGCCGUGGGGAAUCUAGGACUAUCGGGGCAAGCCUGAUCCCGCCCUGGCGCUUGAGUGAUGAAGGCCUUAGGGUUGUACAGCUCUUUUAUCCGGGACGAUACUGACGGUACCGGAGGAAUAAGCCCCGGCUAACUUCGUG